Molecule: long non-coding RNA, 1383 nt
Filed under: Equus caballus (horse)
Lineage: Eukaryota; Metazoa; Chordata; Mammalia; Perissodactyla; Equidae
Description: lncRNA (ENSECAG00000058172.1)
Source: RNAcentral
GGUGAGGUCCUUGAAGAUUUCCCGCCAGGACAGAUGCUGGGACCGCAGCAUCACCCGAGUGACUUCAAAGCUGAGCCGUCUGUCCCCCUAGAAGCGGCCGCAACUGCUGACCUCACGCUUCUUUGACUUUGUGUGCCUGGGUUUUAGAGCAUGCUCCCAAAGAUGUUGAGUUCAAUACCCUAUGAGGGAACCGUGUUAUACCUGAUACCGGAUGUCGAAUUCGCUCGGAAGCGCCAAAACUCAAUAUGUUGGAAAAACCGAAGAUGCUUUCAGCAGCCAGGCCCUAAGCAUUUCAUCCUGGUGGUUCUACCGGAAAGAGCGACUCAGCAUCUCUCUGGGGGCCUUUUUGUUCAGAGGGAAUGGAAGAAGCAGAGCCUCUGGAAGCGACAUGUGACCUGUGUUCCGGAAUUUGCUGGGCCCCCUCCCUGGUUUGGCACUGAGAUCCCAUACUCAGGUGAACUGGGAGUGAACGCGACAGCUGAUUUACAGUGGGAGAGCAUAACCCGAGGGAAGGAGGGGCAGCGAGAAGAUUCGGAUCUGCCCGCUGUGCAGGAAGUGCUAUUCAGGCUGACGGUGGACGUGUCACGUAGAGCACGGACAGGGUUAAUUCGCAGUUUGAAAAUGCAUCUGCCUGACCUUGCAAACUUGUUGUGUCCUACGUCAGGGUGAUAGCCACUUGGAGUGACAUAGACCCAUUUCAGAAUCAGAACAGCUGGUUCUUCCCGUUUAUUAUGAUGGGUAGGUAUCUCAGCGUGGAUGGGUGCAUACAGAUAGAUACUUGCUCAUAUUUUUAUAAAAUUUUGUUUUAAAAACUUCCGUGAAGAACCAGACGUUGGUCAUGGGAAUGUGGGGUCUUCAAAUGUUGGCCAAAUGGAAAUUACUAAUCACAGCUUCUUAUCUAAGUGAAACGGGUAUUAGACUUCUUAGUGCUAUUUUCCAACAACGCAUCUUUUUUCUUUUUCUUACAUAUUUUUAAUUUUUUUGAGGUGUAACUUACAGUAAAAUUCCUGCUUUUGAGUGUCCAAUUCUACACGUUUUGACAAAUGAAUGGUCGUGUAGCCAUCCCCACAAUCAAGACACAGAGCGUCUCCAUCAUCCCCCAAAUCUCAUUGCCAUUCUUUGUAGCCAGCACUGCCACCCUGCUCCUGGCCCCUAGCAACCACUGACGUCUUUAGGUCCCCGUGGUUGUCAUUUCCAGAGGGUCCUACAGAUGGAACCACACUCUACAUACGUAUGGAUCUGAGUCUGGCUUCUUUCAUUCAACGUAAUGACUUUGAGACUCAUUCCUGCUGUUUCAUAGAUCACUUGUUCAUUUCUUUUCAUCGUAAAGUAAUAUUCCAUUGUACGGAUAUUCCACAAUUUGUUUUUCUGUCUUCCCAUUCA